AAGGUUUGACAUGGAUCUGCAAGCGGUAGAAAUAUCGUCGCCUUCGAGGGUGAUCCACAGGUGGUGCAUGGCUGUCGUCAGCUCGUGUUGUGAAAUGUUGGGUUAAGUCCCGCAACGAGCGCAACCCUCAUGUUCUGUUGCCAGCGGGUAAUGCCGGGAACUCGGAACAAACUGCCUCUGUAAAGAGGAGGAAGGUGGGGAUGACGUGCCAGUAUCGGAA
RNAcentral lists this unclassified non-coding RNA (220 nucleotides) under uncultured bacterium. RNAcentral's name for it is "contains 16S-23S intergenic spacer region". It matches the Rfam family "Bacterial small subunit ribosomal RNA", at positions 978 to 1198 of the family's 1533-position model. The record is from RNAcentral.